AUUGAACGCUGGCGGCGUGCCUAACACAUGCAAGUCGAGCGGUAACAGGUGUAGCAAUACAUGCUGACGAGCGGCGAACGGGUGAGUAAUGCUUCGGAAUCUGCCCAUGUAGUGGGGAAUAACCAGCCGAAAGGUUGGCUAAUACCGCAUACGACCUACGGGUGAAAGCAGGGGAUCGCAAGACCUUGCGCUAUUGGAUGAGCCGAAGUCGGAUUAGCNGUUGGUAGGGUAACGGCCUACCAAGGCGACGAUCCGUAGCUGGUCUGAGAGGACGACCAGCCACACUGGGACUGAGACACGGCCCAGACUCCUACGGGAGGCAGCAGUGGGGAAUAUUGGACAAUGGGGCAACCCUGAUCCAGCGACGCCGCGUGCGUGAAGAAGGCCUGCGGGUU
Molecule: ribosomal RNA, 395 nt
Filed under: uncultured bacterium
Lineage: Bacteria
Description: bacterial SSU rRNA
Rfam family: Bacterial small subunit ribosomal RNA
Source: RNAcentral